AUUCUUAUAGCUUAUAUAGAGCAUAGUAUUGAAGAUACUAAGGAGAUAAAAUAAUCUUUGAAUA
Molecule: transfer RNA, 64 nt
Filed under: Ectobiidae sp. Z140
Lineage: Eukaryota; Metazoa; Arthropoda; Insecta; Blattodea; Ectobiidae
Description: tRNA-Phe
Source: RNAcentral